UAAUUUGUUUCCUUGAUAUAAACCCUGUAGAUCCGAGUUAGAUGGUUUUUCCAAUUCGAAUCUCGGGGAAUUAUAUUAAUGAGAUUAUCUUCU
This 93-nucleotide microRNA precursor is filed under the name Schmidtea mediterranea. Its description in RNAcentral is "microRNA sme-mir-10a precursor". Its record names the gene sme-mir-10a. The stretch from base 14 to 79 matches the Rfam family "mir-10 microRNA precursor family". From Rfam's summary of the family: In this case the mature sequence comes from the 5' arm of the precursor. Lineage: Eukaryota; Metazoa; Platyhelminthes; Tricladida; Dugesiidae. The record is from miRBase by way of RNAcentral.